CUCAAAUAUUUAAACGGAGAAAUUCAAUACUGCCUUUUAAAAGCGGUGUGCACUUUUCUUUUAGUAAGACGUUGUGAUCCAUUAGGAAUUGAUAUUCUUUUAGGAUAUUAUUUGGCUAUCAAUAGACUGAUAUGAAGUUCAUUAAUUGUUACACAAUAUUAUCGUUUAUGGUUAUAUAUAGUGACUAAUGAGCAUAUUAUGUUCUGUGUAGCUGCCUGAUGGAUUUUAAAGGUCAUAUCAUUAAUGCUUUAUUGCAUUAUCCCUAUUAAGUUAAGGAAAUAAAUAUGUACCCGAUCAACAACGGUUAAAUUUGGGAUACCUUUAGGACCCGUCUUGAAACACGGACCAAGGAGUCUAUCUAGUAUGCAAGUAAAUGGGCAUAUGAAACCUAUUUGCAUAAAUAACUUGACUGUUUUUUUAUGGGAUUACGAUUAUUAUUAUAUAUGAUGAUCCUCCAUCCCGGGGUAUUUUUAUCAACAUAUAAGUAAUUAUAUGAAAAAUAUACCAUGAGCAUACUGGAUAUGACCCGAAAGAUGGUGAACUAUGCCUGAUCAGGUUGAAGUCAGGGGAAACCCUGAUGGAGGACCGAAGCAAUUCUGACGUGCAAAUCG
RNAcentral lists this ribosomal RNA (611 nucleotides) under Mapucheptagyia brundini. Its description in RNAcentral is "eukaryotic LSU rRNA". It matches the Rfam family "Eukaryotic large subunit ribosomal RNA", at positions 429 to 900 of the family's 3401-position model. Lineage: Eukaryota; Metazoa; Arthropoda; Insecta; Diptera; Chironomidae. The record is from RNAcentral.